Long non-coding RNA from Gallus gallus (chicken), 5842 nucleotides. RefSeq lists it as uncharacterized. The record is from RefSeq and is a predicted model, not a curated record. NCBI's taxonomy places the organism in Eukaryota, Metazoa, Chordata, Aves, Galliformes, Phasianidae. The transcript is spliced from 4 exons.
CAGUUAGUUGUUAACCCUAUUAAAAGUAAGUUAUGAUUUUCAAAAUGUCACGUCUUGUUUUUGUUUGCUUCAGCUUACAUAGAUGUUAUCUUCAUGAUAUGAUGACUGCUCUUUAAUAUUGACCAAUUGUCAUUGCACUUCACUGGCAAAAAAAAGAAAAAAAAAAUCACAGGGUGUUAAGAUGAUUAAUGUAACUGUCAGGAAAAAUGUUAAUAAAUUUAUCUUAUCUACCUCAUAUACAAAGACAUAAUAUAUAUCAGGGUUUAUGUGCUUCAUUCACUUUGCAAAGCACAGCCUCUGACUUAAGUAAAUGUAUGCUAAAUUAUGAAUGUGAAAAGAAACAGAAAGAGGAAAAAGCAAGCUAUUAUUUUUUUUUUAAUUUUAAAUCAGUCUUCAGAAACAAAUCUUUUUACCAUAUGUUUACACAAAACGUAGUCCUCACCCUGAUUUGAAGUUUUGAACAGCACAGAGUUAUUAAUUAAAUUUUUAAUAAUUAAAAACAGUUUCUGUGAAAAGAAAAUCCAUGGAUCAAAAUAGAGAGAGAGGUGAUAUUGCAAUAUCCUGUGAGCAAACCUAGGCUUUGUGCCUUUGCUCUUUUCCCCAUUGAUUAGAAUAAACUUUCAGCACAAACCCUGGUUUGUUCCUUAGACAAGGAGCGUGGGUACCAGGCAGCUGUGUGGAAUCACUGCUGACCAGACUUUGCCUGUUGGAGCCUGUCCUCAGCAAUGUGUUCUGGGAGGCAACAUUUCUCUUAUUCACUGUGUAUAAUGCAAAAGGAGGACUCACUAGCUGUAUCAAGAAAAUAUACAGCACAUUUCAUUUCAAUUUUUUUUUUCACAAUAUUUUCAACUAAGAAGGGAACAUUAACAGAACAGAAAUGUCUUUAGGUUCAACAUCAUGUGGCAUACCUUCCCUCAGUCUUUUCCUAAGCACUUGGAGUUGGGCAUAUAUAACAAACAUAUUCUUGGUCCUCUUUCAGCAGACCUAAUGUGUCAAUAUGUAGAUAAGAUGAUAGGUGCAAUUUGGAACAGUGACAUUUUUGUUUUCCUUCUUUUUCCCCAGUGACUAAUUCACCCAGACAUUGCAACUGGUUAGUGACCAGAAGAGUUGAGUAACUCUGGUUGUACAUUUCAUAUAGUUUUAAUGGUUUUAGCCUCCUAGAUGUAUGUAUAAAACUCUGAAGAAUUUAUCCAGAUCACACUUUGAAAGCAGCUUUUCUUCUUUGGUGCUUUGAAUGUUGUUGAUAGCGUGGAACACUUCUGAGCACUUGUUUGAGUGCUGUGCUGGAGCUUUCUGUUUCCAGUAAAAAACUGAUGGAGAUCAACACUUUUUUGACACUCCUUGUACCAAGUGCUUAUAAAGUGUUUAUAUCUAUAAUUGUGUCAAAUUAUGCUAAUUAAGUGCUGAAAGACACUAGUAAGUUGAAGUACUCAAAAAGUGCAUUACUCUGAGUGUCACCCGGGGGCUCUUCACAGCAGACACUUGGGGGACAAUUUUUUUCUUUCCAAGCACCUUUAGAGCACUUUGUAUUAAAGUGUCUUUCUGACAUUAAUUAAAUUAAAAAAGCAAGUGACAGUUAAGUGCACAUGAUUUACUCUAAUCUUUUGAAAUGCAAAUGUAUUUUAGACUAAAAUGCCCUUCCUUUUUUACAAUUCUCCGUUUUCCUCCUCCAUUGUCUCCCACACCUUUUUUUUAUUGAGUAAUCAGUUGCUAAAAACAGCUUUGAUAAAGGCUGGGAAUUAACUCAAUUAUGAAUGAUUAGGCAGAAAAAUUGAACGAUUCAAAGAUCAAAUAACAAUGAUAGGGUUUCUAAUAACCUUAUGAGAAAAGAUCAUUGCUUAGGGGUAAUGCUGUAGAGACCUGUGCUGCUCUCAGAUUUUUGUCCACCCUGUCUCCAGGGUUACUCAUUAAUUCUAUGCUGAAGAAUUCUAGGGCAGCUGCAGAAGACAAGAGAUAUGAUUUUCUUCCAGUGAACAAAGGAGAUGUUCGUCAUUAGCCAUACACUGGUUACGCACUAAUGAGUUCUCAAAUACUAAGUGGUUUGGCCAAGGUGGUCUAGUAAAAUGGAAACUUAUGUCACACAUUAGAUGAUUGAACUCUGCUGUUCUAAGAUGGAAAACCUUUGUAUAGCACUACAGGUAUUUAGAAUGAGAAUACAUUUAAAACAAAAACAAAAACAAAACAAAACAAAAAAAAAAACACCCUUUGUUUCCAAAGAAAAACUCAGAGACAGCAGUGCAAGGACACCAAAAUUUAAUACAUGCCUUCCCGAAGAGUGAAAAUAGAAUAAAAUCUGAAGUCUGAUAAAAAAAUAAACAGGCACUUUUAGGAGUGUUAUUAGUGAAUAUCCUACUUCAAGGGUUAUUCUGUUUCAUGAUAAAAUAUUUUUGUAGGUGUGCAGAUAACAAUCCUUAUGUUACCUAAUUCUGACUAGACUCUAUUAAAAUGAUUUUUUCACUUUUCUGAGAAACUGUAUUUAAUCCCUAUGUCAAUGUGCUGAGAAAGAUAGUAAAGAUAUAUCUGAACUUUAAACAUCUUUAAUCUUUCUCUUUAGCUUUCAUUCUUGUUGCACAGUCUCAGCAAUCAGAUUUCAACACUCCAUUCCUCAGAAAAACUUACAGAUUUAGAAACCAUAGGGAGAUAAGAUUCUCCUUUGACCCAAAGACACAUUCUGCUAUCUUACAUCUUUGGAAAGUCUUUUAAGUAGUGAUGUCUAUUGAAAUUUUCUAAAUAGAUAGAAUUUUAUUUGGUAAUGACUAGAUCGUUAUCAGGCAGGUGACAGGAGUCCACGGGGGAAUAGAGGUGAGUUGCUCCAGGUAAAGAGACAUCCCAGACAGUCCUCACUAGAAGCAUUAUCUAAAAGGUCCUUCGUAGCCUGGAGUUAGUAAACUGAAUUGUUCUUCACGUCAUUCUCCUGGGAAGGAUGUCGAUCUCACAAGUGUCGCUCUCAAUGCAGCAGGAGUGAAGAAGCCAAGAACUCAGUAAACACUGAGCUUGUUUUGCCAGUUAAAGUAAGUUAGUUUUCAUAAGGAUGAAAAAGUGCCUCCAGAGACAACACAUUGCUGAGAAGAAUUAGACGACCAAAGCUGCAGAAGGGACUGCAUCUUUGGGGACACCCCAGAAGUCCAGCACCACAAAAGUCCCUCACAAUACACAUAGAAAUACUGAGGCCAAGAUGGUGCAAGGCAGAGAUGACAUUUCAGUACAAGAAAUCAGCAAGCAGGAGAGAUCUGAGCCAGCAGUGAAGAAUCCACAUCGCCUGGUGGCCAGGAUGUUAACUGGAUACAGAAACUGGAAGCAGAAUUCCUUUCCCCCAGGUGAGUCUUGAAAAAAUUGAAUUCUGGAGUAAUAUUUGUUCUUACUUUCUAUCUUUUGUCUAUGGGUUUAUAGUUAGAACAUAACAACAAAUUAUACAUGUGUGAUAUGUUCAUUUACUCAAGUGAAAAAAUAGUUUCACUUCAGUGGCAAAAUUUUGUGCUGAUUUUUACCAAUUCAACCAAUGUUGGUUUUUUGUUUUUUAUUUGUUUGUUUUUUAUUAUUUUUUGUUUGGUUGGUUUGAUUUUUGUGGGCUUUUGUUUGUUUAAAUACAUGAGCUAUUGAGCUUUUCAUUACCUAUGUGCUACCAACUUACAUCACAAGCAAAGAGCACUGUAGUGUUUCUUUUCUUUAUGAUCUGACAGUACGUGGUAAGAGAGGAAGGAUUCUAUUUUGUGACUUUUUUUUCUUCCACAAAAUAUAGCAACCUUAAACUAGGGAUAGAUCCAAAAGAGAUUAUGUCAGUUGCUAAGAUUGCAAGCUUUAAAAUUGAGCACAAGUUAUUUAAACUGAAUGUGUCUUUUUGUUUAUUUUUUUUUUUUCUGUAGCAAGCAAAUUAUUACUACUGGUCAAUAUUUCACAAAAACUUAUCUAAUGAUACACAUAAGAAAGUUUCUGUAUUUCUGGAAUGCUCUCGUAUAGCUCUUUGCAUUGAAGUCUUUUAACAGUUUACUGUUUGGUACUAGAUAAACAACACUGAUAAUUACAUAUAUAUUUACCAUUCAGAUCUUGCAAAUGCACAUAUGGUGGAUAAAUUCUUUCACAGAUUUAGUGAUGCUUAUGUUUGCAGAAGAAAAGGAUACAAGCAAGAAAGGAAAAGAGAGUGUCGUGGUUUUAUGAUUUUUGGUUACUAGAAUUCCACACCAUAACAUCAUGUAGUUCAUAUUAUGGAAUUAAAAUUAUAAGACAUUUUAAGGCCAUUAGACUGCAGCUAUUUAAGUUGGAAUGUGGUGUUAGCAUCUAUGCUGUGUUUUAUGUUUACUUUUGCUUUUUAGCAUGAAUUUGCCUUGACUAAAUGCAGUACAUAGUACCAGUGUAAUCCCCACUACAACUACCAAAGAAAAUGGAUAUAAUGUGCAGACUCAGCAUGUUGGUGGUAUUACAUCAUCAUCAUCUGUUAAACAGAGCUAACAUUUACCCUAUGCUUGCUUCCUCACAUAUAACAAGAACCCAUUCUCAGCAUAUAUGUAGUUUUAUUGAUAGCAUAUUAAUGCCCAAAUUGUGUAUGAUUUCUGAUGCAAGAAUAAAACAGGUAUGCUUCUUGUUACAAAGCAGGACAACCAUUCCCAUGUCCCCAACUGCACCUAUGUAUUACUCUACCCUUGGUUCAGGAAGUCUCCCUCUCUUUGUUCUGAGCAGCUCUUCAACUCAUCAUCAGAAGUGGAACUGCAAAGGCUUGCACAUAUAUUUGAAGUCAGGUAGCUUAUUGGUUAAAAACAUUUCUAUGAAGAUGUUAGGAAGAAAUGAUCAGAAGUUCAUAGGUCAAAGCUCUCUGUUUAAUUUUUUAAUGAUUUCCAAUUCUUGUUGAGGUUCCUAGUAUCAACAUUCUGCUCAGUCCUUUGCACAGCAGUCAUCCUAUCCAUAUUUGAUAUGGGAUAAUUAGCAACCAGCCUGGAGAAGUGGAGCCCUUUCUACCAUCUGCACAAUCAAUGCUAGAAAAUGUUCUGCUUCCUAGGGAUAGCCAUGUAUUUUUUUAACAGCUCUUGAUUUAUUGAAAGGGAUGUAAUGAUCAUGAAGAGUGUUAAACUUAAGGCCUUCUAUUGACAGUGGUUCUGUUUAGCUUCAUUAGAUGUGAGGCUAACAUCUGUCUGGUGAGAUGAAGGCCACCUGCUCAUUUUAUGGAAAUUCUAAUAAUUAUCAAUUGCCAAAGAUCUAUAUAUUCAGCACAUUAAAUAGUGCCAAUGAUAAAAAUGAAAGCAGUUGUUUUUCCCUAUCAGCUUUCCAAUUUUAUUUUCAUUGCAAUUAUUUUAUUACAACCUUCCCUAAUCCUUUAAAAGCAGGCAAGAGUAACAGGUCCUUGUCCUUUCAAGCUGGCAAUUUAAAUCUCACUAUGAUACCAGCCUGAGAUGGCGGUGCUAGAUUCUCUGGCUGGCAUGAUGACUAGAAAGUGCACAAGCUGUGAAUGAUCAGAUUUCUAAAUGGUUUGUAAACACUGGAGAAAUAAGAACAUUCUCUACCAUAGCUUGCCAAUAGAAAGAGGUGAUAUUAACAUGAAUUUUCAUUACACACCAUUUUUUCAAUGAUUGGUGGUAUAAAAAUCAUGUCUCAUUCCUUUUUUUUUUUUCCCUUAAAAAUAAGUGAUAGAUUCUAAAGUUCUCUGUACACAGCAACUUAUAUCAUUUUUUAUUAGCUGGCAGAAUGAUAUUUUUAAAAGCAACAACUAUUUCUUGCUUUCAUAUCCAGUAAGAGCCUUUUCUCUUAAGGGAGUUUAUACUGUGAUGAAUAAAAAGAGGCAGAUAAAUGGUAAUAAAGCUACAUCAACCACAGCUAAACAAGUACCUUUAUAAAACACACACACACACACACA